UACGUAGGGGGCUAGCGUUGUCCGGAUUUAUUGGGCGUAAAGCGCGCGUAGGCGGCUUUUCAAGUCGAUUGUGAAAUCCCCGGGCUUAACCUGGGAACUGCAGUCGAGACUGUCUGGCUAGAGUAUGGGAGAGGGAAGUGGAAUUUCAGGUGUAGCGGUGAAAUGCGUAGAUAUCUGAAGGAACAUCAGUGGCGAAAGCGACUUCCUGGACCAAUACUGACGCUCAUGUGCGAAAGCGUGGGGAGCAAACAGG
This 253-nucleotide ribosomal RNA is filed under the name uncultured bacterium. RNAcentral describes it as "partial 16S ribosomal RNA". It matches the Rfam family "Bacterial small subunit ribosomal RNA", at positions 524 to 776 of the family's 1533-position model. The record is from RNAcentral.